RNAcentral lists this ribosomal RNA (441 nucleotides) under uncultured bacterium. Its description in RNAcentral is "partial 16S ribosomal RNA". It matches the Rfam family "Bacterial small subunit ribosomal RNA", at positions 338 to 795 of the family's 1533-position model. The record is from RNAcentral.
CCUACGGUGGGCAGCAGUGGGGAAUAUUGCACAAUGGGGGAAACCCUGAUGCAGCGACGCCGCGUGAGUGAAGCAGUAUUUCGGUAUGUAAAGCUCUAUCAGCAGGGAAGAAAAAAGACGGUACCUGACUAAGAAGCCCCGGCUAACUACGUGCCAGCAGCCGCGGUAAUACGUAGGGGGCAAGCGUUAUCCGGAUUUACUGGGUGUAAAGGGAGCGUAGACGGUAUGGCAAGUCUGAAGUGAAAGCCCAGUGCUUAACCCUGGGACUGCUUUUGAAACUGUUAGACUAGAGUGCUGGAGAGGUAAGUGGAAUUCCUAGUGUAGCGGUGAAAUGCGUAGAUAUUAGGAGGAACACCAGUGGCGAAGGCGGCUUACUGGACAGUAACUGACGUUGAGGCUCGAAAGCGUGGGGAGCAAACAGGAUUAGAUACCCUAGUAGUC